This 715-nucleotide ribosomal RNA is filed under the name Pseudacidovorax intermedius. RNAcentral describes it as "bacterial SSU rRNA". It matches the Rfam family "Bacterial small subunit ribosomal RNA", at positions 18 to 728 of the family's 1533-position model. Lineage: Bacteria; Pseudomonadati; Pseudomonadota; Betaproteobacteria; Burkholderiales; Comamonadaceae. The record is from RNAcentral.
CCUGGCUCAGAUUGAACGCUGGCGGCAUGCCUUACACAUGCAAGUCGAACGGUAACAGGCCGCAAGGUGCUGACGAGUGGCGAACGGGUGAGUAAUACAUCGGAACGUGCCCGAUCGUGGGGGAUAACGCAGCGAAAGCUGUGCUAAUACCGCAUACGAUCUACGGAUGAAAGCGGGGGAUCGCAAGACCUCGCGCGGACGGAGCGGCCGAUGGCAGAUUAGGUAGUUGGUGGGGUAAAGGCCUACCAAGCCGACGAUCUGUAGCUGGUCUGAGAGGACGACCAGCCACACUGGGACUGAGACACGGCCCAGACUCCUACGGGAGGCAGCAGUGGGGAAUUUUGGACAAUGGGCGCAAGCCUGAUCCAGCCAUGCCGCGUGCAGGAUGAAGGCCUUCGGGUUGUAAACUGCUUUUGUACGGAACGAAAAAAGGUUNCUUUUAAACCNGGAAACUGAUGACGGUACCGUAAGAAUAAGCACCGGCUAACUACGUGCCAGCAGCCGCGGUAAUACGUAGGGUGCGAGCGUUAAUCGGAAUUACUGGGCGUAAAGCGUGCGCAGGCGGUGAUGUAAGACAGAGGUGAAAUCCCCGGGCUCAACCUGGGAACUGCCUUUGUGACUGCAUCGCUGGAGUGCGGCAGAGGGGGAUGGAAUUCCGCGUGUAGCAGUGAAAUGCGUAGAUAUGCGGAGGAACACCGAUGGCGAAGGCAAUCCC